Molecule: transfer RNA, 73 nt
Filed under: Pseudomonadota bacterium
Lineage: Bacteria; Pseudomonadati; Pseudomonadota
Also listed under: 1 other name
Description: tRNA-Val
Rfam family: tRNA
About the family: Transfer RNA (tRNA) molecules are approximately 80 nucleotides in length.
Source: RNAcentral
GGGCGAUUAGCUCAGCGGCUAGAGCGCUUGCUUCACACGCAAGAGGCCAGAGGUUCAAACCCUCUAUCGCCCA